Molecule: long non-coding RNA, 1299 nt
Organism: Myodes glareolus (Bank vole)
Lineage: Eukaryota; Metazoa; Chordata; Mammalia; Rodentia; Cricetidae
Source: RefSeq, a predicted model, not a curated record
ACCCACUAACUUUGCUGCAGAUGAGUUCCCUGAAACGUGGCUUGAGACGGUGGUGAAGCCCAAGUUACUUCUCAGGAACUUGAAGGGCUUUUAUUGGAACUGCUGGCUCUCAUUUGUAUCUGUCCAGGGGCUAGAACUGUUGAUGUGUACCGUCAUGUUGGACUCUUCUCCAGUUGUGCGUCUCAUGACAAACCGCAAAGCUCCUUUACAGCAUCACAGAGCACGGACUGAUACCCUCUGGACCCCCGUUCCUUAGGUGGACAUGCUGCUUUGCCCUGUCACAGCCUAAGCUCUGCCAUGAGUCUCCCUUCGAAAUUUUCUACAGCCUCCCAACUGCGCCACCCUCUGGACACCAGCUGUCAACGCGGGAGCCUUUGAGGUGCAGUUCUGAUCCCCACUAUUUUCCUUGGAAGACUGGAGGAGAAGUGAAAUACUAAAGGGGGCAGAGAGUGGACCUAGAACUGGGGAGAAGAGAAAUGUGCUAGGUCCUCCCUGAAGUCAGCUCAGCUGUGGGGUAAAGUGAGAAAGCCUCCGGUUCCUCCAGCUCUCCAUGCUGCCCCAGCAUUUCCGCCACUCCACGCCUCCCCCAAAUGCCCUACUCUCCCCUUUCCCAGGUCUUCUGCCUAAAGUCCUGGUCUUCUGAGCUAUCAGCACUCCGAAUCUGCCUUCCUUCCCGCUCCGCCACCUCUAAAUGACGUGCCUUGGCUUCCUUCCUAUUGAACUUUGUCCUCGUGGUGGUGGAGUCCUUUUUCCAACUGCCAAUAGCGAAGAUAAAAAGUGAGCACAGAGGUGAGCCUACACCGAUUGCACAAGCUGCAAGCCAACCGUCGUCGUCGUAACAUUCCUCACGGGAAUGCAACUUGAUAGAAGAAAGAAUUUGGUUGGCUUUUCAGAGUCUUCACCCUCAGUUGAACUUGGACUAGAUAUCCUCAAUGUAAUCAACCAAAGGAUAGGAUUGGAGCUAGCAACAAAAAGAUUCCAGCUAGCACGUUCCUUCUACAUUUGAAGCAUAGAGAAAAACACUAGAUAUGACUUCUCUAUACUUAAAACUUACUCUGUUUUCUUCUUCACAGAAUUCACCAAUGUGUUUCCUUCUGCCUCUCCUUUUCCUUCUGGGAUGCUCAGUUUCUUUUUCCCAAUUAUGUUUUGCCAUCAAAUUGACUCUUUCUUUCUUAGAGUUGUGUGGUUACAGAAACCACAGAAACCCACAUAAAUCCAAUGCGAUGGCCCACAAGGCAUCCAUAACAUCGGUGGAUUGCAGAGAAAGUAGGUUGUGCAAUAAAGAAUUUUAAACCUUUG